RNAcentral lists this ribosomal RNA (467 nucleotides) under uncultured bacterium. Its description in RNAcentral is "bacterial SSU rRNA". It matches the Rfam family "Bacterial small subunit ribosomal RNA", at positions 329 to 793 of the family's 1533-position model. The record is from RNAcentral.
CUCCAGACUCCUACGGGAGGCAGCAGUGAGGAAUAUUGGUCAAUGGCCGGAAGGCUGAACCAGCCAAGCCGCGUGAAGGACGAAGGUGCCAAGCAUUGUAAACUUCUUUUGUCAAGGGACAAAAUCAGGCUCGAGAGCCUGACCGAGGGUACUCGAAGAAAAAGCAUCGGCUAACUCCGUGCCAGCAGCCGCGGUAAUACGGAGGGUGCGAGCGUUAAUCGGAAUUACUGGGCGUAAAGCGCACGUAGGCGGUUGUGUAAGUCAGGGGUGAAAUCCCACGGCUCAACCGUGGAACUGCCCUUGAUACUGCAUGACUGGAAUCCGGGAGAGGGUGGCGGAAUUCCAGGUGUAGGAGUGAAAUCCGUAGAUAUCUGGAGGAACAUCAGUGGCGAAGGCGGCCACCUGGACCGGUAUUGACGCUGAGGUGCGAAAGCGUGGGGAGCAAACAGGAUUAGAUACCCGUGUAC